CGACGUCGCGUGAGGGAUGAAGUCUUUCGGGACGUAAACCUCUUUUAUCGGGGAAGAAACAAAUGACGGUACCCGGUGAAUAAGCCCCGGCUAACUACGUGC
Molecule: ribosomal RNA, 102 nt
Filed under: uncultured bacterium
Lineage: Bacteria
Description: partial 16S ribosomal RNA
Rfam family: Bacterial small subunit ribosomal RNA
Source: RNAcentral